ACUCCUACGGGAGGCAGCAGUGGGGAAUAUUGCACAAUGGGCGCAAGCCUGAUGCAGCCAUGCCGCGUGUGUGAAGAAGGCCUUCGGGUUGUAAAGCACUUUCAGUCGUGAGGAAGGCGGAGUCGUUAAUAGCGGCCUCGUUUGACGUUAGCGACAGAAGAAGCACCGGCUAACUCCGUGCCAGCAGCCGCGGUAAUACGGAGGGUGCGAGCGUUAAUCGGAAUUACUGGGCGUAAAGCGCAUGCAGGUGGUUUGUUAAGUCAGAUGUGAAAGCCCGGGGCUCAACCUCGGAAUAGCAUUUGAAACUGGCAGACUAGAGUACUGUAGAGGGGGUAGGAAUUUCAGGUGUAGCGGUGAAAUGCGUAGAGAUCUGAAGGUAAUAACCGGUGGCGAAGGCGGCCCCCUGGACAGAUACUGACACUCAGAUGCGAAAGCGUGGGAGCAAACAGGAUUAGAUACCCCGUGGUAGCGACUGA
RNAcentral lists this ribosomal RNA (476 nucleotides) under uncultured bacterium. RNAcentral's name for it is "bacterial SSU rRNA". It matches the Rfam family "Bacterial small subunit ribosomal RNA", at positions 335 to 803 of the family's 1533-position model. The record is from RNAcentral.